UAAUUUCUUCGUUUUUGCCUUUGCCUUGGCUAGUGAGUUUCAAUUUUUGUGCAUCGGUUUGCAGAAAAAUAAAUUUUUAUAAGAAACGAAUAAUUUCAUAUACAAGGCAAUUGACUUUGAAGAAAACAACAUAAUUUUCCAAGAAAACAAAGUUUUAAAUUAUACAACACUUGUAAAGAUAUCAUAUUAUUAUAAAUUGUGGAAAUCGCAUAUCUGCGAUAAAAG
Long non-coding RNA from Bactrocera latifrons, 225 nucleotides. RefSeq lists it as uncharacterized. Lineage: Eukaryota; Metazoa; Arthropoda; Insecta; Diptera; Tephritidae. The record is from RefSeq and is a predicted model, not a curated record. The transcript is spliced from 2 exons.